Molecule: ribosomal RNA, 788 nt
Filed under: uncultured euryarchaeote
Lineage: Archaea; Methanobacteriati; Methanobacteriota
Description: bacterial SSU rRNA
Rfam family: Archaeal small subunit ribosomal RNA
Source: RNAcentral
ACGGCUCAGUAACACGUAGGUAACCUACCCUUCGGACGGGCACAACCCCGGGAAACUGGGGCUAAUUCCCGAUAGGUACCCCCUUCUGGAAUGUGGGGAUAUCCAAAGCUCCGGCGCCGAAGGAUGGGCCUGCGGCCGAUUAGGUUGUUGGCGGGGUAACAGCCCACCAAGCCGACGAUCGGUACGGGCAGUGAGAGCUGUAGCUCGGAGAUGGGGACUGAGACAAGGCCCCAGGCCCUACGGGGCGCAGCAGGCGCGAAACCUUCACAAUGCACGAAAGUGUGAUGAGGGUGCUCCGAGUGCGCAUACAUUGUAUGUGCUUUUCUGCAGCGUAAAUAGUUGCAGGAAUAAGGGCUGGGCAAGACCGGUGCCAGCCGCCGCGGUAACACCGGCAGCCCUAGUGGUGGCCGCUUUUAUUGGGCCUAAAGCGUCCGUAGCCGGACAGGCGAGUCUUUGGGUAAAUCCUACGUCUUAAGCGUGGGAAUUCUAAAGAUACUACCUGUCUUGAGGCCGGGAGAGGCUGGAGGUACUCCUGGGGUAGGGGUAAAAUCCUAUAAUCCUGGGGGGACCACCGAUGGCGAAGGCAUCCAGCUGGAACGGGCCUGACGGUGAGGGACGAAACCCAGGGGAGCGAGCCGGAUUAGAUACCCGGGUAGUCCUGGGCGUAAAUGAUGUGGGCUUGGUGUGAGCGCAUCGACGAGGUGCGCUUGUGCCGUAGGGAAGCCGUUAAGCCCACCGCCUGGGGAGUACGGUCGCAAGGCUGAAACUUAAAGGAAUUGGCGGGGGAG